GUCCUGUGCUCUCUACUCUUUGUACUUUCAUUUGCUGACUGACAUACUAUUUUAAAAUGAACUGAUAUCCUGGUCAGUAACAUUGCCCCCUACUCAAAGUAAUAUGAUUCCUUGAGGAUUUCAGCUGUUGGGUUUUCCUCCACCAAAUCAGGCUACCUUCAACAGAAAGGCCAGUCAAAAUCAAACCUAUGUGGAUCAUAUCCAUUUGGAUGACAGAAUUGGAUCUGCUGGGCAUCUUCUUUAAUCAAAGAGAUUCUCUAGCAAAAGAAAGAUAAAACAGGUAGAGUGGAUGGAAGAGGAAGGGUUAUGAAUCCAAGAAAGACAACAAGGUUAGGAAGAUCUGGAGACCUGGAGGAAGAAAUGACAUCCUGCUCCAGUAUUCCUGCCUGGGAAAUUCCAAGGACAGAGGAGCCUGGCGGGCUACUUUCCAUGGGACUGCAAAGAGUGGAACAUGACUGAGCACAGCACAGCACCUACAGCCAAAACACAGGACCAUAAAAAUUUCUCAACUUUGGCACUCUUGACAUUUUGGGCUAAUAAUUUGUUGCUGUAAGACAGUCCUGUAUACUGUAGGAUGUUUAACAGUAUUUUGACCUAUGCCUUUUCCUACUGGAAUAUGACCAUCCUCAAGAAAAAGACAUACAAAAAGGCAAAAUGGUUGUCUGAGGAGGCCUUACAAAUAGCU
Bos taurus (domestic cattle) is the source of this 685-nucleotide long non-coding RNA. Lineage: Eukaryota; Metazoa; Chordata; Mammalia; Artiodactyla; Bovidae. The record is from Ensembl.